RNAcentral lists this small RNA (414 nucleotides) under Arabidopsis thaliana (thale cress). RNAcentral describes it as "ATSL290670". The record is from RNAcentral. Lineage: Eukaryota; Viridiplantae; Streptophyta; Magnoliopsida; Brassicales; Brassicaceae.
UUUGAUUAGUUUUUUUUGAUAAAAAGCGUGUCAAAAUAAAGAAGAUCAGGUGAUCCAGUUACCCCUAAUAGGAACGCACCGAGAUGCUACAUAGUAAACUACUCUUGUGGCUCAACGAUUCAAUGGAUAUGAUCUACGAGCGGACUCAGGUUGAACGGACCAUGAAAUUCAUGAGAUCCGUGAGAUCCUCAAUUGGGCCAUCAUAUUGCAUGAUCCGAGUUUGGAGCGCCUUUUAACUAAUGCAGUGGUUAGUCAAGCCGUCUGCAUUUCUAACUAUGUAAACCAAUUGGAACAAAACCCAACUAACAAACUUCCUAAAAAAAUGUGUUUUUGUUUACAAGAAGAUCGAAUUCGGAUCAUGGAGUUUCAUCAUCCACCAAAACUUUCCCUCAACUCAGGUCUGGCCAUUUAUAU